This 732-nucleotide long non-coding RNA is filed under the name Malus domestica (apple). RNAcentral describes it as "long non-coding RNA (MDOM_LNC013698)". The record is from RNAcentral. Lineage: Eukaryota; Viridiplantae; Streptophyta; Magnoliopsida; Rosales; Rosaceae.
UCAACGUAGUGACGUAUUUUAUAUAAGUUAUGUAUUCUAUCGAUAUGAAUUCUGAGCCUGGAUUUGAUUACUAUUCUAGGCGGCGAUCGUCAUGACGCCUUGAUGUGUGGUGCUAGGGAGUUGUUGGACGAACUCCAGGUGAGUGGGCAGUUUUGUUUUUCCGUAUAUAUAUAUACUUGACGUUUCCCAGAAAUUGAAUUGAAAUGAAAAUAUGUUUAAAAUGAAAUGCAUAUGAGUUAUGUGGAAAAACGGGAAGUGAAAUACCAUGCAUAGAAUUGAUAUGAAAAGUAUAUAGAAAUGUGAGUUGAAAUGCCAUGCAUGAAUUAAUAUAUGAUGCAUAUGUAUGAAUUGGUGCGGUGGACGCACAUGUAAGAAUUGAUUUAUGAUGCAUAUGUAUGAAUUGGUGCGGUGGACGCACAGGUAAGAAUUGAUUUAUGAUGCAUAUGUAUGAAAUGGUGCGGUGGACGCACAGAUGAGUAUUUAAUUACUGUUAUGAUGAUGAUGAUAUAUAUUGAGCUCAAAUCCUGCACCAUGGUUUAGUGCUUAUAGUAUUCACCGCAUCGCACGCUCGCCUUGGAUCCAAGUAGAUGCUAGUCGUACAGUCCACGCGGAGUGGGUACGACAGACCAGUCGCGAGAGUGUUAGUGAGAUUCCGACUGGUGGGUGACCUUAGAUUAUGUGCACAGAUGAUUUAUGAGAAGCACUAGAGCGUAACUUGUGUGCAGAAGGCCG